Molecule: long non-coding RNA, 1079 nt
Organism: Lathyrus oleraceus (garden pea)
Lineage: Eukaryota; Viridiplantae; Streptophyta; Magnoliopsida; Fabales; Fabaceae
Exons: 2
Source: RefSeq, a predicted model, not a curated record
CUCACAAUUCUCUCACCACGCCUCAUCCACUCACCUCACAAAAUCCGAAAAAAGAUCUCUCUCUUCCCUCACCCACACUCACUCCACGUUUUAAAACUCUCUGCAUCACACAUCAUUCACACACAUUCCUCACCCUUCACACGAUUCACUCUCUCAGAAAAAUUCUCCAACAUCUCCCUCUCAACCCUAAAUCACCUCACUAUCACCUUUCCCCAUUCUCACGACCCCACUCUCCUUUCACUCUCCUCACUUCACGCCUUCCAUCUUCAUCACCUUCAAUCGCCGCUUCUACCACUUUAAACCCUCCACCGCUCAAAAUCGCACCACCAUCAAACCCCCAGCCGCCGUACUCCUCUCAUUUUUCAUUCACCACCGUCAAGCUCCACACAACUUCCGCCUCUUCAAAACCCACGCUCAAACCCUCUCCGACAAAACCCUCACUUCCGCUCAACCUUCACUCAACCCACAAAUCCAAAAACCCGCCGACAGAAAUCAACCCCUUUCAUCGUGAGCUAACACCCCAAUAACCGUCGACCUCACUCCGAUUCUCUCAACAAUCGCCAUCACCGUACCGUGCCGUCGGCAAUUCGUCAAUCCGCAACCGCCCUUGUCCUUCAUCAACAGCGGUCUUCACCGUCUGUAUGCGUAGACCUCGCGAAGCCGUCACCAAGAAGUUUUCGAGUUUGUUGUGUACUUUUCUGUUUUUCAGGUACCGAUCUGGUUUUUCGCCAAACCCUCACUCCAUCGCGUGACGCUUUUGACGUAUCCGUGAACCACCUGUGACACCACGUUUCGGCAAUAAGCAGUUGCGUACGGGAUCCUCAUAACCGAAACCAACACAAUUGUGAAGAAAGGUUGUAAUGAAAUUCUCAAGUGUUAGUGGCAGUUGCUGUUGAGUUCCUUAAAUUAAUUAAAGUCGCAUGUUAAGCUGAGUUUUAAUUGAUAUGUUUUUGAGUUGCAUUGUAUUUAUAUCUAAUGUGCCUUUCAAUUUUGAUGCUGCUUGGAUUAAACAUGUAAAUAUUGUGAGUUUCAAUUGUGAGUUAAAUACAGUUUUGAGCCCAUAACUCGUUAUCUAUUCA